Molecule: long non-coding RNA, 2937 nt
Filed under: Manduca sexta (tobacco hornworm)
Lineage: Eukaryota; Metazoa; Arthropoda; Insecta; Lepidoptera; Sphingidae
Description: uncharacterized LOC119189763
Source: RNAcentral
AUAUCCUAUUUCAAACAGACCGGCAUAAUUUUGUCGAUUGGUGAGGGAUAAUCAUCGCUCGUCAGUCGAUACUAUUUAGAUCCUACUCUACCAUCAAGCUUAGUGGGGCAUUUUGCCGUAUUCGGAUACAAAAAUAAUCAUAAUUAUAUUUAGUAUUUUUUUGAAGUCAAUAGUACUUAAGGAAUAACGUGGUCAAACUGUAUUAUUAUAGUCACACAAACAUCACGCCAUUAUUUCCUAAUGGGGCUAUUCAGAGGUGCAGCCAGGACAGCCACUUUUCGCCAAUAUGUUGCAUCCCAUGAUGUGAUAGGGUGCGAUCAUAUAUCUGGCACGAAUUUCAGAUCAUUAGGGACUAACCCAAUAUCACUUUACUCGACCAGGGAUUCGAACCCCAGAUCUCUAAACGAUGUAUCUCAAUACAACUACGCCAUCAAAGCAGUCCUAUUAUAAAUGUUUUAGAACUAAUAGUGAUAUAGAGGUAUUUGAACACGUCACGCUGGAGUAACAAGUUUGUACUGAGCAGGUUACACAAGAAGGCUUUUACGAAAAUGCGGUGCUCUGUCAACAUUUCUCAUGUCACGCGAGCAUCUCCACUAGCUGUUAUGCUUGUACCAAUACUAGUGUCCCUAAGUGGGGAUGUGGGUUUCGUGGAACUGCGGUUUUAAUUUUUAGCUGUGAUUGGGAUUAUUUGGGACGGUAAUAUUGGCUGGAAUUGAUUACAUUAUGAAUGAAAGAGGCUAAAGUAAUUUGUAUUAGAGUGGUUGUUUUUUUAAGUUAUUGAAAUUUAUUGAAAAGUUGUUAUCCAUCAAAAUUCUUGGUGUGCAAAGGUCCAUAGUGAUUGCUGGCUCAUCUGGAUUACGCUUAUGCCGACUUCUGGAAUAUUCUAAGAGAUAGGGUAUCAAUAUUUUCGUUUUAAAACGUGGUAUACAAGAUGGUUUUAACUCAGGACACAAUACAUUUUUUGUAAAUAAAGAAAAACGUCAUGCUAACUAUCUAUCUUUAAGGUAUCUUUUAUAACAAAAUAUUAUGAUUAAAACGAAGACUAACUUGAUUUUUUAUUUUAAUAUUUUAUUAAAAGUAAAUAACAAUGAAAUGAUUAUGCAAAUAUAUAACGAGGGAAUUCCUUACAGAUUUUCCAGCAACCUGCAAAUAUAAUCAUUUACUUAUACAGGAAUUUAAAUUAAUUUCAAUGAAUAAACUAUGAUUGUUAGUACGAAUUUUUUCUCUUGGCGUAAAAUAAAAAAAGUAUGAAAAGUAUUUACGUCAAUUAAGAAAAUGCGUGGAACGGAACGCAUUGUAGUUUCCAUAGAGUGAUAUACUGUUGUGUUCUCUGGUAAUUAGCGUCACGCCGCUCGUCCUUGUGAAAGAACAUGUAAAUUACAGAAGAUUCAAGUUGAAUGUACGAAUUCGUCAGAUAACGCGUUGAAACUCUGAAAUAUUAUCUUUCGGCUCCUUGUCUAAAGACUGGGUAUCUUAUCAUGCGAUAAAACCGAGUGUGCGUUUUGGAAGGCAUUCGUCGAGGUCACCGCAUGUUUUCACAACAACUUCGCCAUCAAUUGUGUGUACUAGGAUUUUAGAUUUUGAAAUCUAGCUCCUUGAGGUGGCAGAGAGGUAACUGUAAGCAGGAUAGCAGCUUAUUGUUGUCCUUAUUUACCAUAAUGUUAAGACCACAACUUAAGUCAGCUUAUCUCGAUUUGUAGCUCAUCGCAUCGUAACUCCUGUGCCAGCGGUAUGGUUGACAUCGAUGUGUAAAAGAACAUUCAAUAACCUUUAGAGAUCCUUUACUCUUUGGAUAACAACAGUAUUUAUUAACAAUUGUUCUGAAUAUGAAUGUUAAAACAAUUGUAAUAGUUUUGCUCCCCACUUGGUAGGUACGCAUUGACGUAUUAAGUGUCUACAACGCAAUUAAGUUGUGAUGACAAUUCCGAUUGUUUCGCUAUAAGCACACAUUUAUAAAGAUCAUAUUUAUAAAGAUAAUAAGAGCGAUUUCCUGAUUGUUAGCGUGGAAUAUUUGUUUUAUGUUUCAAAUAACUAACAUUCGAAUUUCAAACGUAAACGCCGGAUGGCAACAGAAUACAAUCUAUUGUUUUCUUAAUUCGUUUAAAUUCUUGUUCUAUUUCUGCGGCAAAAAUAUUUGGCACUGUUUAGCACAUUCGAAAACUAUGUUUUGUUACAAAAUGUAGGGUUUUGAAAUUUAAUUUACAAUUAUUUUAUUCGCAGGUAUUUGUCUUUUCCUUGCUCGGGGCUUCUCUUGAAUCGUCUAUGAUCUUGAAUAACAAAAUAACGUUCGCGUACACCGCGAAUUGCAAAAUAAGUUGAUGGCGGGAAUGGAUGACGUAAAUCGUGCAAAAAAAAAUUACGAGCUGCUAUUGGUUGACAAAUAAAUAACGUAAUGCCUUCCUCUACUACGAGUGUGUGAUAACGAUUCUCACAAGCGACCGUAGUAAAUAAAACUUGAAAAACAGAUGGCAUAAACUACGAGUUAUGGCCGACUUUUUGAUACCAAACUACGGUUAACUAUACAUAUAACAUUAGUAUCGGAUAAGUUUGGUUUAGUAGUUUGGGUAUGCUAUAACACGAAGUGACACUUCGUAGAAGAUUAACGUGGUUGUAAAUUAGUGGAAUAAACUUUAUGGCGCUGAUGUACAGACUGCGCGAUGAAUCGUUACAGUCCUAGGAACUUUUGUGGAAGGCAGGAGUCUGGAAUUUGUCCGCGAUGGUUGGCUCGCCCUCUCUUCAUGGGCCGAAAUACACACGGAAGGUGGGUGCACCAGUUGCGCCUCUGCUUACCCCUCGGGGAUAAAAGGCGUGAGUGUGUGUAUAAAUCAUUAUAUAGUGCUGUAAAUAAUCAUCUAAAUAGUUAACAAAUUAAAUGGAAAAGCUUAACACGAUUUGUGAGCAGGCGCGAAAAUGAUGAAUCAUAACAUAAUAUAACAG